CUCUCUCUAACCCUAGAAACUCUGGCGACGUCACCGCCGUUCCUGCCGGUCACCACACGCCGCCGCCGUCCCUACCCAUGCCCACGUCGUCCAUCUUCUAGGAUGCAUUUGUUGCUGAGCAGCUGUUUCAAGGCUCAGAAAAUUCUUCAUAACUGGGACUGAUUCUUGUUUCCUGAAGUUGGCACAGCGGUGAUCUCUUUAUAUAGCCUUUAUUUCAGUACUGGGGACAGAAUUAACUUGUUACUGGAUCCUUCAACAAAAAGCAUCUUGUUGGAAGAGGGUGACCUCAUUGAUGUAAAACUUACUCCAAACAAGUUGUGGAUACUCAGAGAAAAUGGAUUGGUCAUAAAGGGGUUGUUUUGUCAGGACGGGAAAGAGGAAUUAGCUUAUUGCUAUUCUUUACAGGAUGCAUUUGUUGCUGAGCAGCUGUUUCAAGGCUCUGAAAAUUCUUCAGAUGAUCUACUUUGGUCCAAAAACAUUAUUCGAAGUUCGGAUGUACUCAAGAAAUGUAAGGAUGCUAAGCUCA
Lycium barbarum (goji berry) is the source of this 526-nucleotide long non-coding RNA. RefSeq lists it as uncharacterized. The transcript is spliced from 5 exons. Lineage: Eukaryota; Viridiplantae; Streptophyta; Magnoliopsida; Solanales; Solanaceae. The record is from RefSeq and is a predicted model, not a curated record.